AGCGAACGUUAGCGGCGGGCCUAACACAUGCAAGUCGAACGCGAAAGGUCUUCGGACUGAGUAGAGUGGCGCACGGGUGAGUAACACGUAGGUAAUCUACCCUUUGGCGGGGGAUAACGUUCCGAAAGGAGCGCUAAUACCGCAUAAGACCACGGAGUCUCCGGACGCUGUGGGAAAAGGUGGCCUCUUCUUGAAAGCUACCACCGAAGGAUGAGCCUGCGUCCCAUCAGCUAGUUGGUAAGGUAAUGGCUUACCAAGGCGAAGACGGGUAGCUGGUUUGAGAGAAUGAUCAGCCACACUGACACUGGAACACGGGCCAGACUCCUACGGGAGGCAGCAGUGAGGAAUAUUGGGCAAUGGGCGAAAGCCUGACCCAGCCACGCCGCGUGAGUGAUGAAGGCCCUCGGGUCGUAAAGCUCUGUGGAGAGGGACGAAAACCCUGGUUUCAAAUAGGCUCCAGGCUUGACGGUACCUCUUUAGCAAGCACCGGCUAACUCUGUGCCAGCAG
This 508-nucleotide ribosomal RNA is filed under the name uncultured bacterium. Its description in RNAcentral is "bacterial SSU rRNA". It matches the Rfam family "Bacterial small subunit ribosomal RNA", at positions 29 to 514 of the family's 1533-position model. The record is from RNAcentral.